This 327-nucleotide ribosomal RNA is filed under the name uncultured bacterium. RNAcentral's name for it is "bacterial SSU rRNA". It matches the Rfam family "Bacterial small subunit ribosomal RNA", at positions 355 to 694 of the family's 1533-position model. The record is from RNAcentral.
UGGGGAAUAUUGCACAAUGGGCGCAAGCCUGAUGCAGCGACGCCGCGUGAGGGAUGACGGCCUUCGGGUUGUAAACCUCUUUCAGCAUCGACGAAGCGCAAGUGACGGUAGAUGCAGAAGAAGCACCGGCCAACUACGUGCCAGCAGCCGCGGUAAUACGUAGGGUGCGAGCGUUGUCCGGAAUUACUGGGCGUAAAGAGCUCGUAGGUGGUUUGUCGCGUUGUCCGUGAAAACUCACAGCUUAACUGUGGGCGUGCGGGCGAUACGGGCAGACUGGAGUACUGCAGGGGAGACUGGAAUUCCUGGUGUAGCGGUGGAACGCGCGAG